UGAUCUAGCCAUGCCGCGUGAGUGAUGAAGGCCCUAGGGUCGUAAAGCUCUUUCGCCAGGGAUGAUAAUGACAGUACCUGGUAAAGAAACCCCGGCUAACUCCGUGCCAGCAGCCGCGGUAAUACGGAGGGGGUUAGCGUUGUUCGGAAUUACUGGGCGUAAAGCGCGCGUAGGCGGAUCAGAAAGUUGGGGGUGAAAUCCCGGGGCUCAACCCCGGAACUGCCUCCAAAACUCCUGGUCUUGAGUUCGAGAGAGGUGAGUGGAAUUCCGAGUGUAGAGGUGAAAUUCGUAGAUAUUCGGAGGAACACCAGUGGCGAAGGCGGCUCACUGGCUCGAUACUGACGCUGAGGUGCGAAAGUGUGGGGAGCAAACAGGAUUAGAUACCCUGGUAGUCCACACCGUAAACGAUGAAUGCCAGUCGUCGGGUAGCAUGCUAUUCGGUGACACACCUAACGGAUUAAGCAUUCCGCCUGGGGAGUACGGUCGCAAGAUUAAAACUCAAAGAAAAUUGACGG
RNAcentral lists this ribosomal RNA (515 nucleotides) under uncultured marine bacterium. RNAcentral describes it as "bacterial SSU rRNA". It matches the Rfam family "Bacterial small subunit ribosomal RNA", at positions 384 to 916 of the family's 1533-position model. The record is from RNAcentral.